CUAAGGGGCCGAAGCGAGGCCGGGCAGAGCAGCGCCGCCGCCGUCGGGCGCGCAGCUCUGCAGCGCCGCGAACGCCUCUGUGUCCGCAGCCCCCGGAGCCCCGCGGCCCCGCAUUGUCCCUGUACCCCUGGCGGAGAUCCGGGACGAACGUCGCGGAUUGAUGGCUAUUUUCCAGAUGUUAACAUUAUCAGAAGCCUGACCUCCACAUGAUGACAUCAUCCUUCUACUUGCCUGGAAAUACAAUUCAACAUGGGUGGGUUCACAUUUAAUAAUGGUGACAUUUUACUGGGCAGAUAACUGACUGUUAGUAAUCUCCAGAUUCAGCAUUUGAGUCCUGAUUUGCUAUACCCUCUUCCUCAGAUAGUAUAAAGCUUUCUCUUCCACCAGUGUGCUGUGUGGUUUGUUUUCGCCUUUGUAUGAUGAAGAAUUCUCCAUCCUUUCAAUGAAUGUCUCAUGCUAAGGGUUUUCAAAAUAAGUAGACUUGCAUUUUUUUCUCCUAAAUGGAACUCAGCUAAUUUUAUCGAAACUAUUCCUUUUGUCUUUUGUCUAUAUUGUAUGCUACAUUAUUAUGGAUGGCUUUGGAAUUCUUCGUGUAAAAGAAAAAGCUGAAAUACAGUUAAAAUAUACAGGACUUUUUUUUUUCUUAAUUGCAUCUUAAUGUACUAAAAACUAGAGUGUGAUUAUUAAAAAUGAGAGAAGGAAAGAAUUAAAACAACAAAAUUGCUUAGAAAAGCUCCUGUUUCAUAAUGCAUUCGGAAAUAAUUGGUAUCAUAAUGUGUAAUUCACAAUCUUUCUUUGAAGUAUGAAGCUUAAGCUUGGGUGGGCAGGGGACCUCUUAGGACGUGGUGAUGUCUGAAUUAGUUCCUACAUAGCACUUCUGAAUCUGUACACAGAUUGUAGCAUCUUGCUACCUGCCUUGUUGUGGUUUUUUUUGUUUUUUUUUGUGAUAGAGAGAGGUACUUCCUAGAGGAAGGGCUAGGACAGAGGGUCCUCUAAUGUUUUACCAGACACCUACUACUGCCCUGUUGAUUAGGGAAGGGAGGAGAAGAGAAACUCCUUAAUAUAGGCUGUGGCUUUAGCUCAGGCCACAGGGUAGUUUCCUGGGCAGUUGAUGUAGACCAGGUAGAGGACCUUUUUGCCCAGGUGUCAGGUAAGCCUGGGGCUUAUGCUUCAAACAGGCUGAGAAGCCUCCUUGGCUUAUUUUCUAGACUCAUCCCCUCAUCUGGCCCUGAGGAUCUUAUUGCUGAGAUGGCUAGAGUUGAUGAAUCCAAGAAGAAGCACCAUCAGGAAAAAGAGGGAAAGGGAUUGGACUCCCAGGCUUGGAGUCUGAGCCUCAGUUUGCCUAUGGCCCGGGCAUUUGUCUCCCCGAGCAUUGGGAGACAAGAACACACAAGGAAUCAAAUAAGGAGAGAACAUUCCAGGCAGACCUGAGCUUUUAUUCACUACUCCUUUGGAUCAAGCGUUCCUUGCCCAGGACCCACCAUAUCCAGGCUCCUUCUCAGAGCAGUGGUGGUGCUGGUGGUGCUGGUGAUGGGGGUGCUGGUGAU
Molecule: non-coding RNA, 1547 nt
Organism: Delphinapterus leucas (beluga whale)
Lineage: Eukaryota; Metazoa; Chordata; Mammalia; Artiodactyla; Monodontidae
Source: RefSeq, a predicted model, not a curated record